Molecule: ribosomal RNA, 445 nt
Filed under: uncultured bacterium
Lineage: Bacteria
Description: bacterial SSU rRNA
Rfam family: Bacterial small subunit ribosomal RNA
Source: RNAcentral
GCCAGACUCCUACGGGAGGCAGCAGUGGGGAAUAUUGCACAAUGGGGGAAACCCUGAUGCAGCGACGCCGCGUGAGUGAAGAAGUAUUUCGGUAUGUAAAGCUCUAUCAGCAGGGAAGAAAAUGACGGUACCUGACUAAGAAGCCCCGGCUAACUACGUGCCAGCAGCCGCGGUAAUACGUAGGUGGCAAGCGUUGUCCGGAUUUACUGGGUGUAAAGGGCGUGUAGCCGGGCUGACAAGUCAGAUGUGAAAUCCGGGGGCUCAACCCCCGAACUGCAUUUGAAACUGUUGGUCUUGAGUAUCGGAGAGGCAGGCGGAAUUCCUAGUGUAGCGGUGAAAUGCGUAGAUAUUAGGAGGAACACCAGUGGCGAAGGCGGCCUACUGGGCACUAACUGACGCUGAGGCUCGAAAGCAUGGGUAGCAAACAGGAUUAGAUACCCUAGUA